This is a small nucleolar RNA of Molossus molossus (Pallas's mastiff bat), 136 nucleotides long. RefSeq annotates it as small nucleolar RNA SNORA42/SNORA80 family. The transcript has a single exon. The record is from RefSeq and is a predicted model, not a curated record. Lineage: Eukaryota; Metazoa; Chordata; Mammalia; Chiroptera; Molossidae.
GCAUGGUAAUGGAUUUAUGGUAGGCUCUUCUUUGUGGGCCUCCCAUAGUGUACUCAUGCCAGAGUAAAUUGCUGCCUCGAACCAUUGCUUAGCUCCUUACCUGUGAGCUGUUAGCACUGAAGGGGGUUGUACAGUG